UUGUGGACUACAUCUCCUCUGAUGCUUUGCCUUAUGGUCUUACAGCCAUAAGGCAAAGCCUCAGGGGAGAUGUAGUCCACAA
Pelobates cultripes (western spadefoot toad) is the source of this 82-nucleotide non-coding RNA. Lineage: Eukaryota; Metazoa; Chordata; Amphibia; Anura; Pelobatidae. The record is from the annotation of a GenBank genome assembly.